This is a non-coding RNA of Microcebus murinus (gray mouse lemur), 598 nucleotides long. The record is from RefSeq and is a predicted model, not a curated record. NCBI's taxonomy places the organism in Eukaryota, Metazoa, Chordata, Mammalia, Primates, Cheirogaleidae.
UCCAGUUGAUUGUAUCUGUUGCUACAAUAAAAUACAGGAGCAAUGACACUGUGCCAGUUUUGGGUCUAGCUCUAAUUGCUUUGGAAACUUCUGCAUCUUUUUUUUAGGAUACUCACUCUGGGAACACUCUCUCUCAUAGCCCUGAGCCACCAUGUAUGAAGUGCAGGCUUCCUGUUGGAGGGAAGAUCCGUGUGCAGAAGCCAUGGAAAGUAACACAGCACACAGAGCCCAGAGAGAGAAGCAGCAGGAGCUGGGCCUUCUGCAGCAGCUCCCAGCCCAGCUGCCAUCUUGCUCUGAGUGAGAGACUCCAGGAGUAAAGGAACUUCCCUGCUGAGACCCAGCCAACCCACAGAACUGUGAGAUGUCAUAGCAGCAGCUAUUGGUACAAGAUCAAGACUCAGUGAGAGAACAUUGGGAAUUCUAAACAUGUGAGCAACAAGAGGAGUUACAACAUCUUGGGGUUCAACAAACUGCAGCCUACCUGACUUCCAGUUUUUGUAAGUAAAUUUUUUUGGACCAUAGUUAUGUGCAUUUAUUUAAAUAUUGUGUAUGACUGAUUUCUUGCUAAAACAGCAGAGAUGAGAAGUUGCAGCAGAGA